UAACCAAUAGUGUAGGGCGCACUUGGAGUUUUGAUCUCCAUAGAAUGAGUUCAAUUCUCAUUUGAUUAA
Molecule: transfer RNA, 69 nt
Filed under: Pholoe pallida
Lineage: Eukaryota; Metazoa; Annelida; Polychaeta; Phyllodocida; Pholoidae
Description: tRNA-Gln
Rfam family: tRNA
About the family: Transfer RNA (tRNA) molecules are approximately 80 nucleotides in length. Their secondary structure includes four short double-helical elements and three loops (D, anti-codon, and T loops).
Source: RNAcentral